UGGGGAAUAUUGCGCAAUGGGCGAAAGCCUGACGCAGCAACGCCGUGUGAGGGAUGAAGGCUUUCGGGUCGUAAACCUCUGUCGGAAGGGAAGAACGGGUGAGGGUCUAAUAGUCCUUCAUUUUGACGGUCCCUUUAGAGGAAGCACCGGCUAACUCCGUGCCCGCAGCCGCGGUAAUACGGAGGGUGCAAGCGUUAUUCGGAAUUACUGGGCGUAAAGCGCACGUAGGCCGCUUUGUAAGUCAGGGGUGAAAUCCCACGGCUCAACCGUGGAACUGCCCUUGAAACUGCAGAGCUUGAAUCCUGGAGAGGGUGGCGGAAUUCCUGGUGUAGGAGUGAAAUCCGUAGAUAUCAGGAGGAACACCGGUGGCGAAUGCGGCCACCUGUACAGGCAUUGACGCUGAGGUGCGAAAGUGUGGGGAGCAAACA
This 428-nucleotide ribosomal RNA is filed under the name uncultured prokaryote. RNAcentral describes it as "bacterial SSU rRNA". It matches the Rfam family "Bacterial small subunit ribosomal RNA", at positions 355 to 774 of the family's 1533-position model. The record is from RNAcentral.